UACGUAGGGACCAAGCGUUGUCCGGAAUCAUUGGGCGUAAAGCGCGUGUAGGCGGCUGAGUAAGUCUGCUCUGAAAGCCCGGGGCUCAACCCCGGGAGGCGGGUGGAUACUGCUCAGCUCGAGUCCGGAAGAGGAGUGUGGAAUUCCUGGUGUAGCGGUGAAAUGCGCAGAUAUCAGGAGGAACACCAAUGGCGAAGGCAGCACUCUGGGACGGUACUGACGCUGAGACGCGAAAGCGUGGGGAGCAAACAGG
RNAcentral lists this ribosomal RNA (253 nucleotides) under uncultured bacterium. Its description in RNAcentral is "partial 16S ribosomal RNA". It matches the Rfam family "Bacterial small subunit ribosomal RNA", at positions 524 to 776 of the family's 1533-position model. The record is from RNAcentral.